RNAcentral lists this ribosomal RNA (2058 nucleotides) under Citrobacter freundii. Its description in RNAcentral is "partial 23S ribosomal RNA". It matches the Rfam family "Bacterial large subunit ribosomal RNA", at positions 1 to 2080 of the family's 2925-position model. The record is from RNAcentral. Lineage: Bacteria; Pseudomonadati; Pseudomonadota; Gammaproteobacteria; Enterobacterales; Enterobacteriaceae.
GAGGUUAAGCGACUAAGCGUACACGGUGGAUGCCCUGGCAGUCAGAGGCGAUGAAGGACGUGCUAAUCUGCGAUAAGCGUCGGUAAGGUGAUAUGAACCGUUAUAACCGGCGAUUUCCGAAUGGGGAAACCCAGUGUGAUUCGUCACACUAUCAUUACGUGAAUACAUAGCGUAAUGAAGCGAACCGGGGGAACUGAAACAUCUAAGUACCCCGAGGAAAAGAAAUCAACCGAGAUUCCCCCAGUAGCGGCGAGCGAACGGGGAGCAGCCCAGAGUCUGAAUCAGCAUGUGUGGUAGUGGAACGGUCUGGAAAGUCCGGCGAUACAGGGUGAUAGCCCCGUACACAAAAGUGCAUGUGUUGUGAACUCGAAGAGUAGGGCGGGACACGUGGUAUCCUGUCUGAAUAUGGGGGGACCAUCCUCCAAGGCUAAAUACUCCUGACUGACCGAUAGUGAACCAGUACCGUGAGGGAAAGGCGAAAAGAACCCCGGCGAGGGGAGUGAAAAAGAACCUGAAACCGUGUACGUACAAGCAGUGGGAGCCUCUUUAUGGGGUGACUGCGUACCUUUUGUAUAAUGGGUCAGCGACUUAUAUUCUGUAGCAAGGUUAACCGAAUAGGGGAGCCGAAGGGAAACCGAGUCUUAACUGGGCGUUAAGUUGCAGGGUAUAGACCCGAAACCCGGUGAUCUAGCCAUGGGCAGGUUGAAGGUUGGGUAACACUAACUGGAGGACCGAACCGACUAAUGUUGAAAAAUUAGCGGAUGACUUGUGGCUGGGGGUGAAAGGCCAAUCAAACCGGGAGAUAGCUGGUUCUCCCCGAAAGCUAUUUAGGUAGCGCCUCGUGAAUUCAUCUUCGGGGGUAGAGCACUGUUUCGGCUAGGGGGUCAUCCCGACUUACCAACCCGAUGCAAACUGCGAAUACCGAAGAAUGUUAUCACGGGAGACACACGGCGGGUGCUAACGUCCGUCGUGAAGAGGGAAACAACCCAGACCGCCAGCUAAGGUCCCAAAGUCAUGGUUAAGUGGGAAACGAUGUGGGAAGGCACAGACAGCCAGGAUGUUGGCUUAGAAGCAGCCAUCAUUUAAAGAAAGCGUAAUAGCUCACUGGUCGAGUCGGCCUGCGCGGAAGAUGUAACGGGGCUAAACCAUGCACCGAAGCUGCGGCAGCGACACUAUGUGUUGUUGGGUAGGGGAGCGUUCUGUAAGCCGUUGAAGGUGGCCUGUGAGGGUUGCUGGAGGUAUCAGAAGUGCGAAUGCUGACAUAAGUAACGAUAAUGCGGGUGAAAAACCCGCACGCCGGAAGACCAAGGGUUCCUGUCCAACGUUAAUCGGGGCAGGGUGAGUCGACCCCUAAGGCGAGGCCGAAAGGCGUAGUCGAUGGGAAACAGGUUAAUAUUCCUGUACUUGGUGUUACUGCGAAGGGGGGACGGAGAAGGCUAUGUUAGCCGGGCGACGGUUGUCCCGGUUUAAGCAUGUAGGCGGAGAUUCCAGGUAAAUCCGGAGUCUUGCUAACGCUGAGGUGUGAUGACGAGGCACUACGGUGCUGAAGUAACAAAUGCCCUGCUUCCAGGAAAAGCCUCUAAGCAUCAGGUAACACAAAAUCGUACCCCAAACCGACACAGGUGGUCAGGUAGAGAAUACCAAGGCGCUUGAGAGAACUCGGGUGAAGGAACUAGGCAAAAUGGUGCCGUAACUUCGGGAGAAGGCACGCUGAUAUGUAGGUGAAGUGAUUUACUCAUGGAGCUGAAAUCAGUCGAAGAUACCAGCUGGCUGCAACUGUUUAUUAAAAACACAGCACUGUGCAAACACGAAAGUGGACGUAUACGGUGUGACGCCUGCCCGGUGCCGGAAGGUUAAUUGAUGGGGUUAUCCGUAAGGAGAAGCUCUUGAUCGAAGCCCCGGUAAACGGCGGCCGUAACUAUAACGGUCCUAAGGUAGCGAAAUUCCUUGUCGGGUAAGUUCCGACCUGCACGAAUGGCGUAAUGAUGGCCAGGCUGUCUCCACCCGAGACUCAGUGAAAUUGAACUCGCUGUGAAGAUGCAGUGUACCGCGGCAAGA